UACGGGGGGGGCAAGCGUUGUUCGGGAUUACUGGGCGUAAAGGGCUCGUAGGCGGUUUGUCGCGUCGGGAGUGAAAACCCAGGGCUUAACCCUGGGCUGGCUUCCGAUACGGGCAGACUAGAGGUAUGCAGGGGAGAACGGAAUUCCUGGUGUAGCGGUGAAAUGCGCAGAUAUCAGGAGGAACACCGGUGGCGAAGGCGGUUCUCUGGGCAUUACCUGACGCUGAGGAGCGAAAGUGUGAGGAGCGAACAGG
This 253-nucleotide ribosomal RNA is filed under the name uncultured bacterium. Its description in RNAcentral is "partial 16S ribosomal RNA". It matches the Rfam family "Bacterial small subunit ribosomal RNA", at positions 524 to 776 of the family's 1533-position model. The record is from RNAcentral.